AUCCGGCCGACGAGUACCAAAUAGGACGAAAUGCGCACCCCGGAU
RNAcentral lists this non-coding RNA (45 nucleotides) under Trichobilharzia regenti. The record is from RNAcentral. Lineage: Eukaryota; Metazoa; Platyhelminthes; Trematoda; Strigeidida; Schistosomatidae.